Molecule: non-coding RNA, 119 nt
Organism: Ceratotherium simum simum (southern white rhinoceros)
Lineage: Eukaryota; Metazoa; Chordata; Mammalia; Perissodactyla; Rhinocerotidae
Source: RefSeq, a predicted model, not a curated record
CAGCAUGGCUUGAUAAGCGGUGCCAUCUCCAUGCCCAGGAUCUGAACCUGUGAACCCUGGGCGGCUGAAGUGGAGAGCACGAACUCAACCACACUGCUACUAGGCCGGCCCCAAGGAAG